This 119-nucleotide ribosomal RNA is filed under the name Glycine max (soybean). Lineage: Eukaryota; Viridiplantae; Streptophyta; Magnoliopsida; Fabales; Fabaceae. The record is from RNAcentral.
AGGUGCGAUCAUACCAGCACUAAUGCACCGGAUCCCAUCAGAACUACGCAGUUAAGUGUGCUUGGGCGAGAGUAGUACUAGGAUGGGUGACCUCCUGGGAAGUCCUCGUGUUGCACCUC